GAUGAACGCUAGCGGCAGGCCUAACACACGCAAGUCGAGGGGUAGAAGGAGCUUGCUCCUUUGAGACCGGCGCACGGGUGCGUAACGCGUAUGCAAUCUACCUUUUACAGAGGGAUAGCCCAGAGAAAUUUGGAUUAAUACCUCAUAGUAUACAUCAUUCGCAUGUUUGGUAUAUUAAAGUUCCAACGGUAAAAGAUGAGCAUGCGUCCCAUUAGUUAGUUGGUAAGGUAACGGCUUACCAAGACGAUGAUGGGUAGGGGUCCUGAGAGGGAGAUCCCCCACACUGGUACUGAGACACGGACCAGACUCCUACGGGAGGCAGCAGUGAGGAAUAUUGGUCAAUGGACGCAAGUCUGAACCAGCCAUGCCGCGUGCAGGAAGACGGUCCUAUGGAUUGUAAACUGCUUUUGUACGGGAAGAAACACUCCUACGUGUAGGAGCCUGACGGUACCGUAAGAAUAAGGAUCGGCUAACUCCGUGCCAGCAGCCGCCGUAA
RNAcentral lists this ribosomal RNA (496 nucleotides) under uncultured bacterium. RNAcentral describes it as "partial 16S ribosomal RNA". It matches the Rfam family "Bacterial small subunit ribosomal RNA", at positions 28 to 523 of the family's 1533-position model. The record is from RNAcentral.